This 518-nucleotide ribosomal RNA is filed under the name uncultured bacterium. Its description in RNAcentral is "bacterial SSU rRNA". It matches the Rfam family "Bacterial small subunit ribosomal RNA", at positions 28 to 526 of the family's 1533-position model. The record is from RNAcentral.
GACGAACGCUGGCGGCGUGCCUAAUACAUGCAAGUCGAGCGAAUCAGAUGGGAGCUUGCUCCCGGAUGAUUAGCGGCGGACGGGUGAGUAACACGUGGGCAACCUGCCCGUAAGAUUGGGAUAACUCCGGGAAACCGGUGCUAAUACCGAAUAGUUUCUGACACCUCAUGGUGUCAGAGGGAAAGUUGGCUUCGGCUAACACUUACGGAUGGGCCCGCGGCGCAUUAGCUAGUUGGUGAGGUAACGGCUCACCAAGGCGACGAUGCGUAGCCGACCUGAGAGGGUGAUCGGCCACACUGGGACUGAGACACGGCCCAGACUCCUACGGGAGGCAGCAGUAGGGAAUCUUCCGCAAUGGACGAAAGUCUGACGGAGCAACGCCGCGUGAGCGAAGAAGGCCUUCGGGUCGUAAAGCUCUGUUGUCAGGGAAGAACAAGUGCCAUUCGAAUAGGCUGGCACCUUGACGGUACCUGACCAGAAAGCCACGGCUAACUACGUGCCAGCAGCCGCGGUAACAC